GGGUUCAGUAUCUCGCUCAAGGACACUUCGACAUGCAGCUGAGCACUGCCCGGAGCUGGGAAUGAACCAGUGACCUUCCAAUCACUAGUCGACCUGCUCUACCUGCUGAGCUACAGCCACCCACCACCUUGGUCCUAUAUUCUUCAAUACUGUGAGGAUCAACCCAUGACCAUCGACACCAUGGUGCCACAGAUGAGGCAGCUGCACUGGCUUAACUGUCAAUCGACGAUAACUGUCAGUCGAUUAUGGAGUCAUCACUGCUGGAUCACAUAGAGACAUGUGCUUCCCUCUCACUGCAAAGGCUUCUCCAUAACUAAGCAUAAGGUUCUUCAGGUCCUCCAUUGUGAUCCAGCCACUGCACAGCUGAGACCUCCAGACUACUCAGAGAGCUAAACAUGCAUAAGACAUUCAACCCUUCAGAACUUCUCUGUGUCAGGUGACUCUAGAGGGAAAAUGGGGUUCUGCCCUGCAGCAGUGUUCAAGGGUGAACUCCAUUCCCCUGACUCUCAACGCCUCUGUGUCGGCAACGCUUUCCUCAUGCCAAACAUGACCAGAUAAUAGGGAGCAGCAGUUCUUCCAGCAACUGAACAUAUCAAAGGUCUUGACCUCAGAUCCAUCUAAAUCUGUUGACAGCUGUGGUUUGUGGCAGCAAUGAACAGAUUGAACAAACAGCAUCAUGACAGAAUCACUACUGAAGAUUACACUACUGAACCAAAUCUGAAAUAUAGGACACGAGUUUCGUCUGUUUUGUUAAUUAUUUGUCUUAUAUGAUUCAUUGAACAUUUUUUUUAUUUUUCAUUUCAUGAAAAUGUAUGUUUGUUUUUUUUGUUUUUUUUUUUCAUUUCAUCCUUUCCAUCUUUAUCUGUUGGCUAUCCAACAGAGGACACAGAUAAAGGUGGAAAUCAUUUCCAUUAUGCCACAUGCAUCUGAACUUGCUACUCUGUAGGGUCAGCUAUUUAAAAAAUAGUAAUCAUUAGUGUGGGGUUUCAGCUGGUAGGUAUAGUAAAGGUUUUUCACCAUUGUAUACUUAGCCUUGGGCUAGUGUAACCCUCUGAAAAGCAGUUUUGGAUAAGCCCAGUACUGAGACUAUACACUGAAGCUCAGGGUCUGGUCUUUAGAACGUCCCAAACACAUGGCUUGGAUAUGAGCCUUGUCACGUGAUUUGAUUGGGAAACAAACCUGGAGACCUGAGGUCACAAAAGUGAUGUUAACUUUAAAAAGUAAAGGUUAACUGAGUUCUGAGUCAGUCCAGGGCUACUGGAGCUUGAAGCCAUAAACUACUGGGGCUAAUUAGCCUAAGUCUAACUACAAUCUGAAAACUUUUCAUGGUAGGGCUGAACAAUAUCUGAAAUCACUAAUAUUACAGUAUCAUCAGGCAUGUACAUGGUGUCAUUGCUCAAUCCUGUCACCCAAUAUUUACCCAUCACUCUCUGUAUCCCUCUUUAAAAAAGGAACAAAUAGCAAACAAACAAACAAAAUAAUUUUAUUUGAACCCAAAAACAAACAACAACUACUACUGAUUGUAAUAAUAUAUAUUUUGUUGAGCCCUGCCUUAGGAAGUAUUUUGAAAACCAGUAUUUUGAUUUGAAAGGGACUGCUUUCAUGUAUUUUCUAUAUAUUUUUCUCAUAUUUGUGUCUUAGUAUUUUGUUUUAUUGCUUUUUCUUCUAUUUAUUUCCGAAUAGGAAACGUAAUGAUAAUCACAUUUUUUAAAAUCUAAUUUCAUUUGAAGUUGUGUUUGUGUCUCUGAACUAAAUAGUGGGCAAGGAGGAGUCAAACAGUUCAUGGAGAUUCACCCAAACCCAGUUUACUAAAAAACUUACA
Acanthopagrus latus (yellowfin seabream) is the source of this 1822-nucleotide long non-coding RNA. RefSeq lists it as uncharacterized. NCBI's taxonomy places the organism in Eukaryota, Metazoa, Chordata, Actinopteri, Spariformes, Sparidae. The transcript is spliced from 3 exons. The record is from RefSeq and is a predicted model, not a curated record.